This 116-nucleotide ribosomal RNA is filed under the name Castor canadensis (American beaver). Lineage: Eukaryota; Metazoa; Chordata; Mammalia; Rodentia; Castoridae. The record is from RNAcentral.
GUCUAUGGUCAUACCAUCUAAAUGCACCAGAUCACAUUAGAUCUCAGAAGCUAAGCAAGGUGGGGCCUGAUUAGUAUUUGAAUGGGAGAAGUCAACAACCCUGGGAGCCUUCCCCA